GAUGAAGAACGCAGCGAAAUGCGAUACGUAAUGUGAAUUGCAGAAUUCAGUGAAUCAUCGAAUCUUUGAACGCAUAUUGCGCUCUCUGGUAUUCCGGAGAGCAUGCUUGUUUGAGUAUCAGUAAACACCUCAACUCCCUUUUCUUUUUUGAAAUCGGAGCUGGACUUGAGUGAUCCCAACGCUUUCUUCCAAGAAAGUGGCGGGUUGCUUGAAAUGCAGGUGCAGCUGAACUUUUCUCUGAGCUAUAAGCAUAUCUAUUUAGUCUGCCUAAAAAACAGAUUAUUACCUUUGCUGCAGCUAACAUAAAGGAGACUAGUUCUUGUGCUGACUGAUGCAGGAUUCACAGAGACAGCUUCGGCUGACUUUGUAAACUCGAUCUCAAAUCAAGUAAGACUACCCGCUGAACUUAAGCAUAUCAAUAAGCGGAGGA
RNAcentral lists this unclassified non-coding RNA (430 nucleotides) under soil metagenome. Its description in RNAcentral is "partial contains 5.8S ribosomal RNA, internal transcribed spacer 2, and large subunit ribosomal RNA". The stretch from base 1 to 120 matches the Rfam family "5.8S ribosomal RNA", at positions 35 to 154 of the family's 154-position model. The record is from RNAcentral.